GUCGGGCACGGUGGCGCACACCUGUAAUCCCAGAGACUGGGGAGGCUGAGGCAGGAGGAUCGUGAGUUCAAAGCCAGCCUCAGCAACUUAGCGAGGCACUUAGCAACUCAGAGGGACCCUGUCUCUA
RNAcentral lists this small RNA (127 nucleotides) under Marmota monax (woodchuck). Lineage: Eukaryota; Metazoa; Chordata; Mammalia; Rodentia; Sciuridae. The record is from RNAcentral.